This 2379-nucleotide ribosomal RNA is filed under the name Meloidogyne arenaria. RNAcentral's name for it is "eukaryotic LSU rRNA". The stretch from base 265 to 2379 matches the Rfam family "Eukaryotic large subunit ribosomal RNA", at positions 1 to 1845 of the family's 3401-position model. The record is from RNAcentral. Lineage: Eukaryota; Metazoa; Nematoda; Chromadorea; Rhabditida; Meloidogynidae.
ACCCUUAUCGGUGGAUCACUAGGCUCGUGGAUCGAUGAAGAACGCAGCAAACUGCGAUAAUUAUUGCGAACUGCAGAAGUAUUGAGCACAAAAGUUUUGAACGCAAAUGGCCGCAUUGAGGUCAAACUCUUUGCAACGUCUGGUUCAGGGUCAUUUUCUCUUAUAGCGGAAGCUUUAAUUUCUAUAAUGAUGUUGUUGCUUUAUAUUUUAAAAGGAUUUUUGUUUAUUCAUGUAUUAAAUCUAACUGUGAAAAUCAAACAAUUUUGACCUGAACUCAGUCGAGAGCACCCGCUGAACUUAAGCAUAUCAGUAAGCGGAGGAAAAGAAACUAAAUAGGAUUCCCCAGUAACGGCGAGUGAAAAGGGAAAAGUCCAUCGCUAAAUCGUUUUGCCUCAGGCAUUAUGAGGUGUAGCGUAUAAGUCGUAAACUUUGAUCUUUUGUCUCAAACAAGUCCCCUUGAUAGAGGUUCCACAGAAGGUGCAAGUCCUGUACGUUGAGAUAAUUGAUCGAUAUUUGCGUGCUUUAGAGUCGGGUUGUUUGGGAUCGCAGCCCAAAGUCGGUGGUAAACUUCAUCUAAGACUUAAUAUUGCCACGAGACCGAUAGCAAACAAGUACUGUGAAGGAAAGUUGCAAAGCACUUUGAAGAGAGAGUUAAAGAGGACGUGAAACCGGUAAGGUGGAAACGGAUAGAGUCGGCGUAUCAUUCAAUUAUUCAGUUACAUUAUUUUUAUGUUGUGACCUCUGAGCUCCAGAUUGGGACAGAGGGAAUCAGCAUAAUUUUUUGUGGUGCAUUUACUUGAUUGGUGCUUGGGGAUGUUUGAGGCAGAUUUGUUUCCGUCGUUUUGAGGCCAGCUGCUGGUACCCAAACGGUGUUAGCAUUUUUUGUCUUGGGCAUUUGAGUAUGGCUCACGUGUAUUUAUUGGACAGAUCUGAGUGUAAGUUACGGUCGCAUGCGACACGUGCUUUUCAAUUAGUUCGGUCCAGUUAAUGCUCUCGUACUCGUUCCCAUGUAAAAGCCGGUCAUCUAUCCGACCCGUCUUGAAACACGGACCAAGGAGUUUAUCGUGUGCGCAAGUUUUUGGGUGUUAAAAACUUAAAAGCGAAAUGAAAGUAAAUGACUCUUUAGAGUCUGAUGUGCGAUCUUGUAAAAAAGUGUAGCAUGGCCCCAUUCUAACUGUUUACAGUAGGGUGGCGGAAGAGCGUACGCGGUGAGACCCGAAAGAUGGUGAACUAUUCCUGAGCAGGACGAAGCCAGAGGAAACUCUGGUGGAAGUCCGAAGCGGUUCUGACGUGCAAAUCGAUCGUCUGACUUGGGUAUAGGGGCGAAAGACUAAUCGAACCAUCUAGUAGCUGGUUCCCUCUGAAGUUUCCCCCAGGAUAGCUGGAGCUCAAGAGUAGUUAUACUCGGUAAAGCGAAUGAUUAGAGGACUUGGGAACGAAAUGUUCUUAACCUAUUCUCAAACUCUAAAUGGUUAUGAUGUCAAAGUUGCUUGAUUUUGAACUUUGGCGUUGAAUACGAGCUCCAAGUGGGCCAUUUUUGGUAAGCAGAACUGGCGAUGUGGGAUGAACCAAACGCGGAGUUGCGGUGCCAAAGUAUCCGCUCAUUAGACCCCAUAAAAGGUGUUGGUUGAUACAGACAGCAGGACGGUGGCCAUGGAAGUCGGAAUCCGCUAAGGAGUGUGUAACAACUCACCUGCCGAAUCAACUAGCCCUGAAAAUGGAUGGCGCUGGAGCGGGUCACCUAUACUCUGCCGUCAUAAGCUUGUAUUUUGUUAAAAAGUCUUGCAAUGACGUGUAAGAGGGUCGUAGUGGUUGCGUUGAAGGCUUUGGGUGUGCACCCAGCUGGAGCUUCCACUAGUGCAGAUCUUGGUGGUAGUAGCAAAUAUUCAAGUGAGAUCCUUGAAGACUGAAGUGGAGAAGGGUUCCACGUGAACAGCAGUUGAAUGUGGGUCAGUCGAUCCUAAGGCACCGGCUAAAGCCGUCUAGACACUGCGGGGAGAUGAGAUACUUAACGGUAACUUGUCUACCUGGUUGCCGAAAGGGAAGUGGGUUAAUAUUCCCACACCAGGCAUGGGAGAUUGUGAUCCGCGAGGAUUACUUUGCGCGGUGACGCAAACGAACUCGCAGACCUCGUGUGGAGUCCGGGCCAGAGUUCUCUUUUCUGGUUUAGAGAUCAUGUCCCUGGAAGUGGCUCAGCCUGAGAUAGGGAUACUGGUCUUGUAAAGCGCAGCGGUUCCUGUUGUGUCCCGUGUGCUCCACAUGAGCCCCAGUAUCUGGCCCGAUUCCCAGGACGUCUCCGUUCCAAGUACUAAGGAAGCCCAGCGUUGCUUAACUUGCCAGAUCGGACGGGAUGGCGUGCUUUCAACGCGGUAUGGUCGU